Molecule: unclassified non-coding RNA, 182 nt
Filed under: soil metagenome
Description: partial internal transcribed spacer 1
Source: RNAcentral
CCGAGUUUACAACUCCCAAACCCAAUGUGAACCAUACCAAACUGUUGCCUCGGCGGGGUCACGCCCUGGGUGCGUCGCAGCCCCGGAACCAGGCGCCCGCCGGAGGGACCAACCAACUCUUUCUGUAGUCCCCUCGCGGACGUUAUUUCUUACAGCUCUGAGCAAAAAUUCAAAAUGAAUCA